GUUUUAGUGGCAGAGCCCGGUAAUUGCAAAAGACCUAAGCCCUUUUAUCCAAGAGUUCAAAUCUCCUCUAAAACA
This 75-nucleotide transfer RNA is filed under the name Rhinatrema bivittatum (two-lined caecilian). Its description in RNAcentral is "tRNA-Leu". It matches the Rfam family "tRNA". Rfam says of the family: Transfer RNA (tRNA) molecules are approximately 80 nucleotides in length. Their secondary structure includes four short double-helical elements and three loops (D, anti-codon, and T loops). The record is from RNAcentral. Lineage: Eukaryota; Metazoa; Chordata; Amphibia; Gymnophiona; Rhinatrematidae.